UCUACGGGUGGCAGCAGUAGGGAAUCUUCCACAAUGGGCGCAAGCCUGAUGGAGCAACACCGCGUGAGUGAAGAAGGGUUUCGGCUCGUAAAGCCCUGUUGUUGGAGAAGAACGUGCGUGAGAGUAACUGUUCACGCAGUGACGGUAUCCAACCAGAAAGUCACGGCUAACUACGUGCCAGCAGCCGCGGGAAUACGUAGGAGGCAAGCAUUAUCCGGAUUUAUUGGGCGUAAAGCGAGCGCAGGCGGUUGCUUAGGUCUGAUGUGAAAGCCUUCGGCUUAACCGAAGAAGUGCAUCGGAAACCGGGCGACUUGAGUGCGGGAGAGGACAGUGGAACGCAAGGUGUAGCGGUGGAAUGCGUAGAUAUCUGGAAGAACACCAGUGGCGAAGGCGGCUGUCUGGUCUGCAACUGACGCUGAGGCUCGAAAGCAUGGGUAGCGAACAGGAUUAGAUACCCUUGUAGUC
Molecule: ribosomal RNA, 465 nt
Filed under: uncultured bacterium
Lineage: Bacteria
Description: partial 16S ribosomal RNA
Rfam family: Bacterial small subunit ribosomal RNA
Source: RNAcentral